RNAcentral lists this ribosomal RNA (207 nucleotides) under uncultured bacterium. Its description in RNAcentral is "partial 16S ribosomal RNA". It matches the Rfam family "Bacterial small subunit ribosomal RNA", at positions 568 to 774 of the family's 1533-position model. The record is from RNAcentral.
CGCGUAGGCGGCUUGGUCAGUCGGAUGUGAAAGCCCCGGGCUUAACCUGGGAAUUGCAUUCGAUACUGCCAGGCUAGAAUGUAGUAGAGGGAAGUGGAAUUCCGGGUGUAGCGGUGAAAUGCGUAGAUAUCCGGAGGAACAUCAGUGGCGAAGGCGACUUCCUGGACUAACAUUGACGCUGAGGUGCGAAAGCGUGGGGAGCAAACA